AAACUUUCAACAAUGGAUCUCUUGGUUCCGGCAUCGAUGAAGAACGCAGCGAACUGCGAUAAGUAAUGUGAAUUGCAGAAUUCAGUGAAUCAUCGAGUCUUUGAACGCACAUUGCGCCCCCUGGUAUUCCGGGGGGCAUGCCUGUCCGAGCGUCAUUG
Molecule: ribosomal RNA, 158 nt
Filed under: Aspergillus egyptiacus
Lineage: Eukaryota; Fungi; Ascomycota; Eurotiomycetes; Eurotiales; Aspergillaceae
Also listed under: 1 other name
Description: 5.8S ribosomal RNA
Rfam family: 5.8S ribosomal RNA
About the family: 5.8S ribosomal RNA (5.8S rRNA) is a component of the large subunit of the eukaryotic ribosome.
Source: RNAcentral